CCUUUCUAGAGUAUAGGGACACUAUCUCACAAUGGUGCUCCGGCGAGAACUGCUAAGGAAGCUUAUUUAGUUUUGAGAGAUUGAAUGAAAGAGGGGCUUAUAGCUCAGGUGGUUAGAGCGUACCCCUGAUAAGGGUAAGGUCAGAGGUUCGAGUCCUCUUAAGCCCACCAUGGGGAAUUAGCUCAGCUGGGAGAGCGCCUGCUUUGCACGCAGGAGGUCAGCGGUUCGAUCCCGCUAUUCUCCACCAUUUUAUCAAAAGUGGUAAAAGAUUGUAUCACGACAUUGUUAGUGAAGAUGAGGACACAACGUCUAAUAUAAGAACAAGAGAGAUUGUUUUUAUAUUAGACUUUUUAGUCUAAAUGUUAUUUAAUUUAUUAUUGUCAAAGUCAACAAAACGCAAAAAAAACAAUUUACAACUUGUUAGAUGGUUUACAUUUAAUAAGGGAGUGAAAUGUGCAUUAGAAUACAAAUAG
Molecule: transfer RNA, 473 nt
Filed under: Sulfurospirillum sp. enrichment culture SL2 clone SL2-ITS2
Lineage: Bacteria; Pseudomonadati; Campylobacterota; Epsilonproteobacteria; Campylobacterales; Sulfurospirillaceae
Description: 16S-23S ribosomal RNA intergenic spacer
Rfam family: tRNA (bases 94-167)
Source: RNAcentral